Molecule: long non-coding RNA, 1049 nt
Organism: Leopardus geoffroyi (Geoffroy's cat)
Lineage: Eukaryota; Metazoa; Chordata; Mammalia; Carnivora; Felidae
Exons: 3
Source: RefSeq, a predicted model, not a curated record
UCCAACUCACUAGUCAUGAGAUCAUGACCUGAGCCAAAGUUGGAUGCUCAACCGAUUGAGCCACCAGGCACCCUGGAAAACCUUAUUCUUAAUGAGGCAUCUGUGGGGUGGCUCUCACAUGGGAGCUCAGCAUCCCUUAAGGGAUGUUCAUGGAAGCACUGUUGCUAUGGAGAAAGCUCCGGAGACAACCUGAUGGUCAUGGGGAGAAAGUGGUUAAAUAAUCCACGGUGUAUCCACACUACGAAACUAUGCAGCUGGAAAAGAAUGAGGGCCUGAUGUGGACACACUUAGCCAGGCACCAGAAGUACAGUGCGAGGAAGAGAAUAUACAUAUGUAUAUGCACAGAAAGCUUCUGGAAGGAUCCACAAGCUACUUUGUUACUGGACCAGGAGAUACUGAGGAGUAAAGAUCAUGAAUGAUAGGAAACUUGGGGGAAAAAAGACCCUGUGCUGAAGCAGGAAGCUGCUCUCCCCUCAAGUUGCUGAUAGUCUAAGAGCUGAGACAAAGAUACACCUAGCCAAGUUCACCUGGAUGAGUCUGGGAGGAAGAAGAGCCUUAUCAGAGCUCCAAAGAUGGGGAGGAGCAGCCUGGGAGACCUGGGUUGGGGUCCUCGCUUGGUCUCUGUCAGCUGUGUGGACAUGGGCAAGUCAUCUUGCCUCUCUCGGCCUCAGUUGUCCUCAUCUGUGAAAUGGCCACACAAUGAUAGCAUCAACCUCAGAGAGCGAGACCCCAUGGGUUGUCACCCACUUAGCACACCCUCUGUCUCUAGUGAUGGCUCAACAAAUGGGAGGACAUUACAUCCAUAGCUGGAGGCUGGAUGCUUGUGGCACUGAGGGGUACAAGCAGUUACAGGAACUCCAAGCGGUGUCAAAACUCUAGACUUCUCCCAAUUUCUGAAUCUCCUUUCCCCAUACUUCUUAGAAAGGUGAAGGUCGGCUUUGGGGAGGAAACUGGGCUGGGGGCGCUUCCUGGUUAGCCUGCUUGUAGCUCAGCUGCUAACAGUCAUGACACUGAUUAUAUUAAUGCCGUGUCUCAUUUAUUGAGGAUGG